GCGGUUGUGGUGAAAUGGUAGACGCAGGGGACUCAAAAUCCCCCGACGAGAGUCGUGUCGGUUCGAGUCCGACCAGCCGCACCA
Molecule: transfer RNA, 84 nt
Filed under: compost metagenome
Description: tRNA-Leu
Rfam family: tRNA
About the family: Transfer RNA (tRNA) molecules are approximately 80 nucleotides in length. Their secondary structure includes four short double-helical elements and three loops (D, anti-codon, and T loops).
Source: RNAcentral